AUUGAACGCUGGCGGCAUGCCUUACAAAUGCAAGUCGAACGGUAACGGGCCUUCGGGUGCCGACGAGUGGCGAACGGGUGAGUAAUACAUCGGAACGUGCCCGAUCGUGGGGGAUAACGAGGCGAAAGCUUUGCUAAUACCGCAUACGAUCUACGGAUGAAAGCAGGGGACCGCAAGGCCUUGCGCGGACGGAGCGGCCGAUGGCAGAUUAGGUAGUUGGUGGGAUAAAAGCUUACCAAGCCGACGAUCUGUAGCUGGUCUGAGAGGAUGAUCAGCCACACUGGGACUGAGACACGGCCCAGACUCCUACGGGAGGCAGCAGUGGGGAAUUUUGGACAAUGGGCGCAAGCCUGAUCCAGCCAUGCCGCGUGCAGGAUGAAGGCCUUCGGGUUGUAAACUGCUUUUGUACGGAACGAAAAGCCUUCUUUUAAUACAGGAGGGUCAUGACGGUACCGUAAGAAUAAGCACCGGCUAACUACGUG
RNAcentral lists this ribosomal RNA (482 nucleotides) under uncultured bacterium. RNAcentral's name for it is "partial 16S ribosomal RNA". It matches the Rfam family "Bacterial small subunit ribosomal RNA", at positions 30 to 507 of the family's 1533-position model. The record is from RNAcentral.